CGAGGCGUUUGUCAGAGAAGGGACAGAGCGGUGUGGAAUAAAGGCCUUUCUGAACUUCUGUGUUCUUAUGAAGAGUUGGUCCUGAUGAAAUAGUUUGUUGUGGAGGAUCCACUGGUGAGCGAGUGAUGUAAUGCUAUACAUUUCUCAAAAUCUGUUCUGAUAAAAAAACAAACUCUUCUACAUCUUGGAUGGCCUAAGGUUUGAGCCCGACAGAAGCAGAGCACACAGAUGGAGGACAGGAGGGAAGAGAGCAGAACACACACCAGACAGCAGCGUCCAGCAGAGCACCCAGUCAGAUAAAGGAGGUGUGGCGAUGGUGGUGGAUUCAUGCAUA
Molecule: long non-coding RNA, 334 nt
Organism: Onychostoma macrolepis
Lineage: Eukaryota; Metazoa; Chordata; Actinopteri; Cypriniformes; Cyprinidae
Exons: 4
Source: RefSeq, a predicted model, not a curated record